Non-coding RNA from Acanthosepion pharaonis, 97 nucleotides. The record is from the annotation of a GenBank genome assembly. Lineage: Eukaryota; Metazoa; Mollusca; Cephalopoda; Sepiida; Sepiidae.
CUACACCGCCGCUUCCCAUAAGAUUACCGUAGUUAAGCAACGUCGAGCCUCGUCAGUACCUAAAUGCGUGACCGCUUGGGAAUACCAUGUGCUGCAA